GCUUUCAUGGUGUAAUGGUAGCACACUCGGUGCAUAUUCGAGAGAUCCAGGUUCAAGUCCUGGUGGGGCA
This 70-nucleotide transfer RNA is filed under the name Stegodyphus mimosarum. It matches the Rfam family "tRNA". From Rfam's summary of the family: Transfer RNA (tRNA) molecules are approximately 80 nucleotides in length. Their secondary structure includes four short double-helical elements and three loops (D, anti-codon, and T loops). The record is from Rfam by way of RNAcentral. Lineage: Eukaryota; Metazoa; Arthropoda; Arachnida; Araneae; Eresidae.